AAUCAUCAUUUUGAAGGUGAGUUUAUAGGUGUGGAAUACCUCUAUCAGCAAACUGGCAAAGUUCUGCAGGACUACAAAGUGGUCAUUGAAGAGUCUGAGACCACUGAAGUUGAGAUAGAUGAGGGCUUCACAGGACAUGACAGUACCCACACUAGAGGCAGAGCAAGCACUUCUGGCCUCACAAGCAUCUGCAGCUGUUCCUGGUUCCUCAGCAGCUCCAUCUCCUCAGGCUACUGCCUUUGUGCCUCCCAUUCCCCCCGUUAUCCCUCUGUUGCCAGUGACUCAGUCACAUGUCGCCUCAUCAUCAGCUUCUGCAGCUCCUUCACCUGCUGUGACCGCUCUGCUCCCCCAGUCCACACAAACAGUUUCUCCUGCAGAACAGUCUACAUCAGCGCCAUCUACUGAUCCAUCUCCACACUCCUCCUCAUGCCAUGAUUCGGUUGGCCCUGAUAACAUUGAAGGGUAUGGCGCAGUGCAGGAUCUGGCUGAUUACUUGGCUGGACUAAGAGACCACCGUCUUGCGCUGACUCAGGAGGAAUGUAGUCAGGUCAUUGCUCUGUGGCAGGAACUGGGGGAGUAUGACAAAAAAAAAACUGUCUACCCAGCUCGACACCAGACCAGCCUGAGCAAGGGACGAUUCCGGGCUACGAAGAAGAUUGUGGCUCCAGGUGUGGAGAGCACCAAAAGGUACUGUAGGCGGUGCAAGGCACAGGAGCAGGAUAUUUUAAAGCAGGGUCUUCCAGCUUUACAGGCCCCAAUGGCAGCUCCAUCAAGACUUCCACCUGCCCUGCAGAAAGGACAAACUUUUACAUUUGGCUCUUUAGCUCACCCUCAUCCUUUUGUGCUGCCACCGAACACUGCUGGGCAGGCACAACUUAAAGGAAGACCACCAUCUCAGCCACCACCACCACCACAGACAUUGCUCUUUUUUCAUCCUGUUCCACCUGCCCCUCCAAAACCCUUAAUUACUUCCCCUCUAACAUUUCAGACACAGGUAACACCUCAAGCGGUUCCCUACACCACACAGCAGUAUAGGAAAAGAAAAAUGGAGGCAGAGCAGUCAGGUAUUUUUAAAAGAAAAUACACCAAAAAGAAAGACACUAUAGUUUGCAGCAAGUGCAAAAAGGACAGGAACCCUCCUACACAUCGCCAGUAUUUUGGCAACUGGUAUUGAGAAGAGACUGAGACUCAGUCCUAUGAUGAGUGGAGGGCUUUACUGGAGGAGCGCAAUUAUGGCAAAAAGUAAAUAAAGU
This 1253-nucleotide long non-coding RNA is filed under the name Gouania willdenowi (blunt-snouted clingfish). Its description in RNAcentral is "lncRNA (ENSGWIG00000006537.1)". The record is from RNAcentral. Lineage: Eukaryota; Metazoa; Chordata; Actinopteri; Blenniiformes; Gobiesocidae.